This 582-nucleotide ribosomal RNA is filed under the name uncultured bacterium. Its description in RNAcentral is "partial 16S ribosomal RNA". It matches the Rfam family "Bacterial small subunit ribosomal RNA", at positions 355 to 935 of the family's 1533-position model. The record is from RNAcentral.
UGGGGAAUUUUGGACAAUGGGGGAAACCCUGAUCCAGCCAUCCCGCGUGUGCGAUGAAGGCCUUCGGGUUGUAAAGCACUUUUGGCAGGAAAGAAACGUCGCGGGUUAAUACCCCGCGAAACUGACGGUACCUGCAGAAUAAGCACCGGCUAACUACGUGCCAGCAGCCGCGGUAAUACGUAGGGUGCAAGCGUUAAUCGGAAUUACUGGGCGUAAAGCGUGCGCAGGCGGUUCGGAAAGAAAGAUGUGAAAUCCCAGAGCUUAACUUUGGAACUGCAUUUUUAACUACCGGGCUAGAGUGUGUCAGAGGGAGGUGGAAUUCCGCGUGUAGCAGUGAAAUGCGUAGAUAUGCGGAGGAACACCGAUGGCGAAGGCAGCCUCCUGGGAUAACACUGACGCUCAUGCACGAAAGCGUGGGGAGCAAACAGGAUUAGAUACCCUGGUAGUCCACGCCCUAAACGAUGUCAACUAGCUGUUGGGGCCUUCGGGCCUUGGUAGCGCAGCUAACGCGUGAAGUUGACCGCCUGGGGAGUACGGUCGCAAGAUUAAAACUUAAAUGAAUUGACGGGGUCAUAGCUGUUU